CCUUCCCAACCCUAACCCCUCAGGGCUGAAAGGGACCUGUGAGAUCAUCUGGUCCCCUUCCCCUCAUUUUACAGAUGGGAAAAGUGAGACCCAGAGAGGGGCAGAGAGCAGGUGGCAGAAGCCUGAUGAAAACCCUGUUCUAAGGUACAGCUCAACACACUACACACCACAGCAACACACACAUAGACAACUCUGGAGCCCCAGAGGCCAGCAGCUUUGAUUCCUCUGGCCACGCAGGUGUGGCCCCAGGGCUGCCUCAGCAGGAGAGCUGGACUCACCAUUCCCGAGAGAUAGUCCUGGUUGAACUGCCCCGCAUAGGUGGCCACGUUAUCCAGCCCGAUGGGGGGCAUGCUGGGCGGAGGAGGGUAGGCAGCACCUCCCCAGGGACCACCACCUGGUGCAGCUGGUGGGUAGCCACCUGGGGGCGGGGGAUAGCCAGGGUAGCUCAUGGUUAGAUCUUUGACUCAGCAACUCCACUUCUGUAAGUCUCUUCCCCAGACACACACCUGGCCACGGGGACUCCGGACGCGAGGGGCGAAAUGGGACGUGGGCGGGAGUGGCUCUCUCCGCGGGCGUCCCGGGCGCGGCGCCUGGGUUCUGCCUAGGGGCUGGGUCCCACUCCCGCUCGCGGGGCCCGCGGGGCACUCGGGGCACUGGGGAGCCGCGGGCGCAGCAGCCGUCAGCGCCGGGCGGAAAACUCCGCGGGCGCGGCUGCCCC
RNAcentral lists this long non-coding RNA (718 nucleotides) under Homo sapiens (human). RNAcentral's name for it is "LNC_000460". The record is from RNAcentral. Lineage: Eukaryota; Metazoa; Chordata; Mammalia; Primates; Hominidae.